UGUGUUCACGAGCUUGUGAGAUUCUUGCAUGCAUAAAGACAACGAUACUUAUUUUUCGGGACCAAUUAUAUUAUACACUAAUAAUCCUCAUCAGUCUCCAAUUAUAUGAUUUCUAGCUACUAGUAUGUCAUCUCCAGUCCACUCGUUAAUGCUUAAAUAAUAAGAAAUAAAUAAACAUGUAUAAACAAAAAACUUAAUUAGCUAAAAACAUUAUCUAAAUUCUCAAGCUCUUCCACCUCUCAUUAAAUGUGAUCCAAAAAGAAAACUAAAGAACCUUAAAAAGCUGGCUGAUGAACCUCUUGAUGGCUCUCUCCCAUCAUAAAUCAAUUCUAAUCAUCCCCCAAAAACAAACCUGAAACACACAACACAAAAUUACACAAGUCACCAUCUCGCUCUCUGUCUCUCUUACUCUCUCUGUCUCUCCUCUUUCUCUCUCAUUUAUGUAAGAUAUGGUGAGAUAUGAAGAAACAGUUAGCUUUCCCUGAAUCCCAUGAAGACAAUGACCCAACAUCACCACCAUCAUCAUCAUUAAUCAUUCAGCAUCAUCAUCGUCAUCUCUUUUUGUUUGUCCCUUCUUUGAACCACCACUUGCUAAUAGCUAGUUGCUAGUUGCAACAUCCACAUACUUAAUUCACCUUUUUCUAUAAGUUACAGUCCCCACUUAUAGUUUCUAUUGGGUUGAGAAGAUUUCGAAAGGAGAGCUAGCUAGGGUUUUCAGACAGCUCCUAAAUCUGAGUGUGAAACAUCAAGAUCCAUUUCGUCCUUUGUCUCUCUCUUGGUAGCCUCUUCUUGACAAGACCCAUCAGUGGUCUUACUUGUACAGUAAAGCGGUUCUUUCUGUGAAGUUUCAUAAAGAACACUCACCAUAUCCAAACCUUGUAAGUUAAGUUCAUUCAUAUACACUUACUACAUUAGUUGACAUUCUAAUUCAUUGCUGAUGCAUUUAUAAGUAAGUACAUGCAAUUAAUAACCUUUCAAACUAAAUGUUCAAAUAUAUAAGUACAUAGGAAGUUGUCUUGGUCACAUUUUUGUCUAGUUGUCGAUGGCUCAUUUAAAGCAAUAAGUAGUGCAUGUGUUUGAAACUAACUCAUGCCUAUGUAUUCUUCUGUAGAACAACUUGCUUUUUCAUAAGUGUGGCCCUUCAUUGUUUCAAAAGUAUAGAUAGAUAUAUGAAUCGAGAUUAAAAUAGAUAGAUAUAGAAGGAGAUUCUUUCAGUCCAGUCAUGGAUAGAAAAAGAAGAGGGUAGAAAUAUCUGCCGACUCAUCCAUCCAAACACUCGUGGUAGAGAAACGAUCAAUUUUAAACCGCAGUGACUGUAUGAAUGAUGCGGGAGAUAUUUUUGAUCCUUCUUUAUCUGUGUUUGGACUGAAGGGAGCUCCUUCUUUUUCUACAAUUUUUUCAUUUUUUUCUCAUCAUCUGUUUAUAUAUCAGUAUAUAUAUUGCAUCUGGAUUCUAGACAUGAUUCGACUUCAAAUCGAAUUGAACUGUACUCGUUGAGCCAUAUAUGGUUUAGGAUUGAGUCAUGUCCACGUGAAUCUACCCACUAACUCACUAGUUAGGGUUGCAUUAAAGGUAUAGUCAGAUUUUAAACUAAUGCUUGUUUUUGGGGGGAUAUUAAUUAUGUUAAGCUUUCUUUGAAUGAUAUAUAUACAGUAUAUUACAUUCUAAUGAAAAUCUUCGGUUACGACUAUGGAUACAUGACGAUGGUCUUUCUUAAAUACUAAUUCAUACUUUGUGUUUUUGGACCAAUGUAGGAACAUGUAUGUAUCCAUUUUUCCUCCCUUUUUAUUUGUUGGGUUGAGAGAUAUUAUUAAUUAGUAAAUAUAGAGGUCGUGUUCUUGCCUUAUUCGUAUUUUGUAAAGUAAGACUUUAGUACUGUACUUGUAAUUUGUAUGUUACCGAUGAUUGGAAUGCAUGGUUUACAACUUUACAUC
Long non-coding RNA from Arabidopsis lyrata subsp. lyrata, 1934 nucleotides. RefSeq lists it as uncharacterized. The record is from RefSeq and is a predicted model, not a curated record. Lineage: Eukaryota; Viridiplantae; Streptophyta; Magnoliopsida; Brassicales; Brassicaceae. The transcript has 2 exons.